Molecule: ribosomal RNA, 477 nt
Filed under: uncultured bacterium
Lineage: Bacteria
Description: partial 16S ribosomal RNA
Rfam family: Bacterial small subunit ribosomal RNA
Source: RNAcentral
ACUCAAAUGAAUUGACGGGGACCCGCACAAGCAGCGGAGCGUGUGGUUUAAUUCGACGCAACGCGCAAAACCUCACCUAGAUUUGACAUGGAGCUGCAAGCCCUGGAAACAGGGUCGCCUUCGAGGGUGCUCCACCGGUGCUGCAUGGCUGUCGUCAGCUCGUGUCGUGAGAUGUUGGGUUAAGUCCCGCAACGAGCGCAACCCUCGUCGCCAGUUAUACCUGUCUGGCGAGACUGCCCUUCGGGGAGGAAGGUGGGGAUGACGUCAAGUCCGCAUGGCCCCUACGUCUAGGGCUACACACACGCUACAAUGGCGUCGCUAGUGCGUCGCGAGUGGGUAACCACGAGCUAAUCGGCAAACGGCGCCCCAGUGCAGAUCGGGGGCUGAAACUCGCCCCCGUGAAGGCGGAGUUGCUAGUAACCGCGUAUCAGCAGUGGCGCGGUGAAUACGUACCCGGGUCUUGCACACACCGCCCGU